AGUGAACGCUGGCGGUAGGCCUAACACAUGCAAGUCGAACGGCAGCACAGUAAGAGCUUGCUCUUACGGGUGGCGAGUGGCGGACGGGUGAGGAAUACAUCGGAAUCUACUUUUUCGUGGGGGAUAACGUAGGGAAACUUACGCUAAUACCGCAUACGACCUACGGGUGAAAGCAGGGGAUCUUCGGACCUUGCGCGAUUGAAUGAGCCGAUGUCGGAUUAGCUAGUUGGCGGGGUAAAGGCCCACCAAGGCGACGAUCCGUAGCUGGUCUGAGAGGAUGAUCAGCCACACUGGAACUGAGACACGGUCCAGACUCCUAAGGGAGGCAGCAGUGGGGAAUAUUGGACAAUGGGCGCAAGCCUGAUCCAGCCACACCGCGUGGGUGAAGAAGGCCUUCGGGUUGUAAAGCCCUUUUGUUGGGAAAGAAAAGCAGCAGGUUAAUACCCCGCUGUUCUGACGGUACCCAAAGAAUAAGCACCGGCUAACUUCGUG
Molecule: ribosomal RNA, 492 nt
Filed under: uncultured bacterium
Lineage: Bacteria
Description: partial 16S ribosomal RNA
Rfam family: Bacterial small subunit ribosomal RNA
Source: RNAcentral